GACGAACGCUGGCGGCGUGCUUAACACAUGCAAGUCGAACGGAAAGGCCCUGCUUUUGUGGGGUGCUCGAGUGGCGAACGGGUGAGUAACACGUGAGUAACCUGCCCUUGACUUUGGGAUAACUUCAGGAAACUGGGGCUAAUACCGGAUAGGAGCUCCUGCUGCAUGGUGGGGGUUGGAAAGUUUCGGCGGUUGGGGAUGGGCUCGCGGCUUAUCAGCUUGUUGGUGGGGUAGUGGCUUACCAAGGCUUUGACGGGUAGCCGGCCUGAGAGGGUGACCGGCCACAAUGGGACUGAGAUACGGCCCAGACUCCUACGGGAGGCAGCAGUGGGGAAUAUUGCACAAUGGGCGGAAGCCUGAUGCAGCAACGCCGCGUGCGGGAUGACGGCCUUCGGGUUGUAAACCGCUUUCGCCGGUGACGAAGCGUGAGUGACGGUAAUGGGUAAAGAAGCACCGGCUAACUACGUG
This 468-nucleotide ribosomal RNA is filed under the name uncultured bacterium. Its description in RNAcentral is "partial 16S ribosomal RNA". It matches the Rfam family "Bacterial small subunit ribosomal RNA", at positions 28 to 507 of the family's 1533-position model. The record is from RNAcentral.